Molecule: long non-coding RNA, 344 nt
Filed under: Manacus vitellinus (golden-collared manakin)
Lineage: Eukaryota; Metazoa; Chordata; Aves; Passeriformes; Pipridae
Description: lncRNA (ENSMVIG00005018454.1)
Source: RNAcentral
GGAAUGGAAUGUGCUACCCAGUUUGGAGUGACCACAUUGAACAAGUGUAUCUGCCUGGCAGCUGUCGCUUGUUUCCUGUGCAAAACAUCCCUGUGUGCUCAUGGAAGAGAAAAAUCUGUUUAUGGGCAAGGCUGCAGCCAGAAUAUAAAGAGACAAUCUUCUUAGGAGUAUUCCCAGCUUGGAGCACCAUGAGGCUCAGGUUUAGACACAGCACUGCAGCAACAAUGAAAAACAGCAGUAAAAGUCAGGUGCAGCCCUUUUUGGUUGAAACUGAGAACCUAAACCUCCAAAUCUCCUGGAGGAAAAGGAGACCGACAAGAUGUAAACAAGUAACUACUCCAUCU